GGAGGGCUGGGUGCGUUCGUGGGAAAACCCCCAUGGUGUCCCAUCAGCGGACAUAUCCUGGCUAAAAGAGGACACAGAACGAGGCCUGUUCACCGCUGUUCAGAUAUUUAAACACAAAUCUGGUCAGUUAAAGAGGCGACGGGUGAUCAAAUCCGACCGGAUGUGGUUUUAUCCACCUGAACCGCCUCGCUAUGUGAAGGGAGCUGCGCCAACACACCUUUUUUUCCGGAGCCGUGUAUUUGUGUGGCGUCCGGUUGGAGUUUGGCGAUACUCCCUGAAGUGCCCUCGAGGGGAUGACUACGUCGGGCACGGGAGGGAUGUGCACCUCUACAAGUCUGGCUUUCACCACCGGGUACGUCACAUUUGAUGUGUCCGGCUGGUACACAUCGGUCACUGAGGUCCUGUGCUGUGGACCCUGCACAAAGGCCACCAGGAGCGGAGGAGGUGGCACAGUGGGCCGAUGGCUCGCAUGGGACCGUGCUAUUCGAUCUCAACUUAGUGAGGCUCAUCAAGCUCGGUUCCCUGCCGUCCGCACCAGCAAGGCCCCAUUGUGCAGCACGGCCCUAUCAGGUUUACCUGAUGAGUGGCAUUGCUCGGUGGAAUUCGGACAGGAGUUUGGACGCCGUGUUUGGUGGCAAAGGACAGAAUCACAGGAAAUACUCUGCGCCGCUCAUUCACCGCCUCAACACCCGCUGUCAGCAGCUGUUUGGCGAGACUGGAGGAGAAUUUCCGGGCCCCCGCCAAUGUUGCUUCCAACGAGUUGCUUGGGUUGGAAUAUUUAUUCAGCCAACGCACGGGUGUAUCCGAACCCUUUUCCCUGGUGGACAUCAUCAAUGAUGGACCUGGUCCAGAGGAGGAGGUGGUUCAGCACGGGCAGCCCGAUCCAGAGGCUGACGAGGCGUACCAGAGCGACGGGGAGGCUGGUGGCAACGUGUUGGAUGCCAUCCUGCCCCACAUUAAUCUCACCAGCGACGAAACUGCAACUCUUCACCCUCCAGCCUCUGGUACAAACCAAAGACCAAGUCACAGCAUAUGCAGCGAGAGCGAACUGGUCCAAAACCGGGCUUUUUAAAGAGCCCAGCCAGCUGCGACCACUGACGAGGGGGUGGAUGGCUGCAGUCCAAACCCGCUUCCUGGCUUUGAAAAGCUAUAAAAGUUCUGUUCUGGUGGCAAUCAGCCCGACAGAGGACAAGCUGACGCUUUCCACUGAGCAGAGGAACGAGGUCCUUGAAUCCCGGAAUGCUGUGGAGGAGCACGACAAGCAGCCGCAGCAGUUCAACCAGCUGUACAGAAGGAUCCGAUCCUCUGCAAGGCCGGCAUUCCUCUGCCAAAGAUCAACGUCAAAACUGUGCAGGACUUCACCCGGCGUCAGGAGCGCCUCCUGAACAUGAAUCCCACAAAACAGUCCUCUACUGUAACGAAGAUCACCUCCAUUUCAUCUGCUGACCUCCCUCGAGCACUACACCAGCCGUCAGUCCUCCACCACUCUACCCUCUGAUGGAGUACGGGGCCAUCCCCAGCACAGCAGGGACUACGGUGUUGAAGGGAAGGACGGACAUGAUGAUGGCUCUCUUCCGGCCUCUACCACCACUGCAACUCCUGCAACCGCUGGCGGCUGUAAAAAAAAAAUCCUGCCACCUCCACCAUCUCCAGACCUGUACCCUCCAUGUCCAGCUCCGCAGCCGACACGGAGUGCGCUGGCCCCUCCACUCGGCCAAUAUUGCCUGCAAAUCCUCCUGCAUCACUGCCAUCUCUGUCCACAAUGCCUACUGCUUGUGAUUUAAGUUCACCAUCCUGGGCAAGAUCCACGCAGUACAAGCGAAAGAGUAUGGAACAUCCCUCUGCAGUUGGAGUCGAGGUGUCGCGGGUGCACAAACUCCCUCUCUGUACAUGAC
Long non-coding RNA from Gasterosteus aculeatus aculeatus (three-spined stickleback), 1895 nucleotides. The record is from Ensembl. Lineage: Eukaryota; Metazoa; Chordata; Actinopteri; Perciformes; Gasterosteidae.